GUGACCUCGGAUCAGGUAGGAAUACCCG
This 28-nucleotide ribosomal RNA is filed under the name Nigrospora sphaerica. Its description in RNAcentral is "partial 26S ribosomal RNA". RNAcentral also lists the same sequence under 1 other name. Lineage: Eukaryota; Fungi; Ascomycota; Sordariomycetes; Amphisphaeriales; Apiosporaceae. The record is from RNAcentral.